RNAcentral lists this ribosomal RNA (460 nucleotides) under uncultured bacterium. RNAcentral describes it as "partial 16S ribosomal RNA". It matches the Rfam family "Bacterial small subunit ribosomal RNA", at positions 338 to 795 of the family's 1533-position model. The record is from RNAcentral.
CCUACGGGUGGCUGCAGUGAGGAAUAUUGGUCAAUGGACGCAAGUCUGAACCAGCCAUGUCGCGUGAAGGAAGACGGCUCUAUGAGUUGUAAACCUCUUUUGUAAGGGGGUAAAAGCAGAUACGUGUCUCUGUUUGAAAGUACCGUAUGAAUAAGGAUCGGCUAACUCCGUGCCAGCAGCCGCGGUAAUACGGAGGAUCCAAGCGUUAUCCGGAUUUAUUGGGUUUAAAGGGAGCGCAGGAGGGAUGUUAAGUCAGCUGUGAAAGUUUGGGGAUUAACCUGUAGACUGCAGUUGAAACUGGUUGUCUUGAGUGCAGUAGAGGUAGGCGGAAUUCGUGGUGUAGCGGUGAAAUGCGUAGAUAUUCGGAAGAACCCCGAUGGCGAAGGCAGCCAACUGAGCUAUAACUGACGCUGAGGCUCGAAAGUGUGGGGAUCAAACAGGAUUAGAUACCCGGGUAGUC